UACAGAGGGUGCGAGCGUUAAUCGGAGUUACUGGGCGUAAAGGGCGCGUAGGUUGUUGUAUAAGUUAGUUGUGAAAUCCCCGGGCUUAACCUGGGAACUGCAACUAAUACUGUAUGACUAGAGUACUGUAGAGGGUAGUGGAAUUUCCGGUGUAGCGGUGAAAUGCGUAGAGAUCGGAAGGAACACCAGUGGCGAAGGCGGCUACCUGGACAGAUACUGACACUGAGGCGCGAAAGCGUGGGGAGCAAACAGG
RNAcentral lists this ribosomal RNA (253 nucleotides) under uncultured bacterium. RNAcentral describes it as "partial 16S ribosomal RNA". It matches the Rfam family "Bacterial small subunit ribosomal RNA", at positions 524 to 776 of the family's 1533-position model. The record is from RNAcentral.